CACUAUCCUAUAAGACGUCUCAGAGUCUCCGUUGUAACUCAGUGCUCUGUCAGUAGUCCUGAGUGUUAGAGAUACGACGAUUCCUCUCGCGUUUAACAAUGAUGGCGAAAUGGUUCAUUUGCCUCCUGGCGAUGGCGUUAGUUCUAUUCCGGGAUGGGCAUUCUGAUACCUCCUUCUGCCCCCCCAACACGGUCAACAUUUCCAGCCACUGCUACUACUUCUUCCAGACCCCCGCGAGUUGGCACGAUGCCCGAGACCGCUGCACCGAAAUUGAAGGACGACUGGUCUCGCUAAUCGCCAGACCAAUAUACG
Long non-coding RNA from Macrobrachium nipponense, 312 nucleotides. RefSeq lists it as uncharacterized. The record is from RefSeq and is a predicted model, not a curated record. NCBI's taxonomy places the organism in Eukaryota, Metazoa, Arthropoda, Malacostraca, Decapoda, Palaemonidae. The transcript is spliced from 3 exons.